GGAGUCUGGGCCGUGUCUCAGUCCCAAUGUGGCCGUUUAGCCUCUCAGCUCGGCUACGCAUCGUCGCCUUGGUGGUCCAUUACACCGCCAACUAGCUAAUCAGAUGCAGACUCAUCCUUGAGCACCGGAGUUUUCAAGAUAAGCAUUCCAGCUUAGCUCAUAUGGGGUAUUAGCAGGAGUUUCCCUCUGUUGUCCCCCACUCAAGGGCAGAUUCUCUACAUAUUACUCACCCGUCCGCCACUUUCCUCUCUAGCAAGCUAGAGAUUCUCGUUCGACUUGCAUGUAUGAAGCACGCCGCCAGCGU
Molecule: ribosomal RNA, 304 nt
Filed under: uncultured cyanobacterium
Lineage: Bacteria; Bacillati; Cyanobacteriota
Description: partial 16S ribosomal RNA
Source: RNAcentral